GACGAACGCUGGCGGCGUGCUUAACACAUGCAAGUCGAACGGAAAGGCCCCCAUCGUUGUGCUCGUGAGGCGACCACGGGUGUGUGACACGCGCGACCUCCGCUCUCCUUCUCGCCAAAACCCUGAAACUCGGGCUACUACCCCCAAGAAGUGCCAUCUGCAUGGUGUGGGUUGGAAAGCUUCGGCGGUUUUGGAUGCGCUCGCGGCCUAUCAGCUUGUUGGUGGGGUAGUGGCUUACCAAGGCGUUGACGGGUAGCCGGCCUGUGAGGGGGACCGGCCACAUUGGGAAUGAGAAACGGCACAGACUCCUACGGGAGGCAGCAGUGGGGAAUAUUGCACAAUGGGCGCAAGCCUGAUGCAGGAACGCUGCGUGAGGGAUGACGGCCUUCGGGUUGGAAACCGGGUUCAGGAGGGACGAAGCAUUUUGUGACGGUACCUACAGAAGAAGCACCGGCUAACUACGUG
RNAcentral lists this ribosomal RNA (465 nucleotides) under uncultured bacterium. Its description in RNAcentral is "partial 16S ribosomal RNA". It matches the Rfam family "Bacterial small subunit ribosomal RNA", at positions 28 to 507 of the family's 1533-position model. The record is from RNAcentral.